This 444-nucleotide ribosomal RNA is filed under the name uncultured prokaryote. RNAcentral's name for it is "bacterial SSU rRNA". It matches the Rfam family "Bacterial small subunit ribosomal RNA", at positions 355 to 796 of the family's 1533-position model. The record is from RNAcentral.
UAGGGAAUAUUGGUCAAUGGACGGAAGUCUGAACCAGCCAUGCCGCGUGCAGGAAGACGGCCUUCUGGGUUGUAAACUGCUUUUAUCAGGGAAGAAUAAGCUUCUUGCGAGAGGUGAUGCCGGUACCUGAGGAAUAAGCACCGGCUAACUCCGUGCCAGCAGCCGCGGUAAUACGGAGGGUGCGAGCGUUGUCCGGAUUUAUUGGGUUUAAAGGGUGCGUAGGCGGCCUGUUAAGUCAGUGGUGAAAGGUAUCAGCUCAACUGAUGACGAGCCAUUGAAACUGGCGGGCUUGAGUACAGACGAGGUAGGCGGAAUUUAUGGUGUAGCGGUGAAAUGCAUAGAUACCAUAAAGAACACCGAUAGCGAAGGCAGCUUACUAGGCUGAGACUGACGCUGAGGCACGAGAGCGUGGGGAGCGAACAGGAUUAGAUACCCCGGUAGUCC